This 253-nucleotide ribosomal RNA is filed under the name uncultured bacterium. Its description in RNAcentral is "partial 16S ribosomal RNA". It matches the Rfam family "Bacterial small subunit ribosomal RNA", at positions 524 to 776 of the family's 1533-position model. The record is from RNAcentral.
UACAGAGGUCUCAAGCGUUGUUCGGAAUCACUGGGCGUAAAGGGUGCGUAGGCGGCAUGGAAAGUCAGAUGUGAAAUCCGAGAGCUCAACUUUCGAAUUGCAUCCGAUACUCCCGUGCUAGAGAACUGAAGGGGAGCUUGGAAUUCUCGGUGUAGCAGUGAAAUGCGUAGAUAUCGAGAGGAACACUAGUGGCGAAGGCGAAGCUCUGGGCAGUAUCUGACGCUGAGGCACGAAGGCCAGGGGAGCGAACGGG